RNAcentral lists this ribosomal RNA (253 nucleotides) under uncultured bacterium. RNAcentral describes it as "partial 16S ribosomal RNA". It matches the Rfam family "Bacterial small subunit ribosomal RNA", at positions 524 to 776 of the family's 1533-position model. The record is from RNAcentral.
UACGUAGGGGGCAAGCGUUGUCCGGAUUUAUUGGGCGUAAAGAGCGUGUAGGCGGCUAGGUAGGUCCGUUGUGAAAACUCGAGGCUCAACCUCGAGACGCCGGUGGAAACCAUCUAGCUAGAGUCCGGAAGAGGAGAGUGGAAUUCCUGGUGUAGCGGUGAAAUGCGCAGAUAUCAGGAGGAACACCGAUGGCGAAGGCAGCUCGCUGGGACGGUACUGACGCUGAGACGCGAAAGCGUGGGGAGCGAACAGG